RNAcentral lists this long non-coding RNA (2092 nucleotides) under Homo sapiens (human). RNAcentral describes it as "HSALNT0240528". The record is from RNAcentral. Lineage: Eukaryota; Metazoa; Chordata; Mammalia; Primates; Hominidae.
GCAACUUUUUUUUUUAAGUUACCGUUUCUUAAACAUCUCCUAAAGAUUACCAACAACACAUAUGUAAGUUUUUCUAAGCAUUUUACAUAUAUGGAUUCGUUGCCUUCCACAACAAUCCUAGGACAUAGGUACCAUUAGUAUCCCCAUUAUACAGAUUAAGAAACUGAGGUACAGGGAGGCUAAGUAACCAGCCCAGGCAGUGGAGCCGGGGUUCAAACCAGGCAGUCUGGCUGCAAAGUCCCUCUUCCUCACCACCACACUCAACAUUCCAGGCACUGUGCUAACUGUUUACACAAAUCCUCUCCAUUUUGCAGUUGAGAAACCCAAGACUCAGACCAGUUGGGCAACAGCUGAAGGUCACAUAGCUGGGAAGCAGUAGAGAUGAGAUUCAAAGUCGGCAGAGCUCCAGAGUCUCUGCUCUCCCCCACACCCUCCUGCAACCCUGCCAGACGCUCAGGCUUCCAAAGCAAGUUUAACCAAUAUCCCUGCAUUGCCACGCCUCUUCAGGCAAGUCAGCUUCUCCCCGCUGGGCCUCAGUUUCACCAUCUAGAAAAUGACUGGGGGAUUGGCCCAGCUGAUCUUUGAGGUCCCUUGGAGCUCUGUGAGUCUGUGAUGAGAAAGGUGUGGUGCUUCUAGCUGAAAGGGAAGACCUGUGGCCUGGGAAUACCUUGGGCUUGGCUUGGGGUUGCAGCCAGCAAGGAUGAGGGAGAUGAGGGCCUGGGGAUGAAAUGAAAAGGAAAUUUCAGGUGACUGGAGAAGGCUUAUUGGCUGUGAACCUGGGAAGAGGGUUCAGAUGUAUGAAGCAGGUAAGAAAAGAAGAGAGAAGCCCUGGGUGGGCCUCCCAGGGGGCCUUUUCCUUCUUCCCAGGGGUCACCCCAAGCUCAAGAUGGGCACAUGAGAGCCUCGGGCAAGGGAGCAGGGAUCAGGCCAGCACUGAACCGAGGUCAGAACUUCUGAGACACAGCAGUUCGAGGGAAUUGACAUUGCUGGGGGUUUUGUUUUCUCUGUAAAUAUUUGGAGAUGUCCAGUUAUUCUAGAAAAAUGUAUCUGCAGCUGAGGGGGCGCAUUUGUGCGGCUGGCCUGGCUGCCUUUUGCAUGACUGCUCUGUUACAUUCUUCCCCUUCAGGAACCGAGGGUUGUUUUCCCAUCUGUAACCUCAUUAGGAUGUCCACACCAGCGGGCUCCACACGCACAUGCGCUCCGGCAGGUUCCCCUCGGGGACACACACGCACACUGGCAUUGCCCCCUGGCCACACGCUCACGCACACAGUCGCAGCUGUGCCUUUUAAUAUUUAAUGCCAUUGCUGCAAACGCCGCUCCACGCUGACUGCAUCCGUGCCAGGCUCAUUCCUCUCAGGGCGCCAAUUCCCGGCUUGGAGACCAGCUGACAAAUCUUGUUAAAAACCUUCCAGCCCAGUGCAUCUCUCGGAGGAGGGUAAUGUCACGUGCUUGCGAGAUGAGCGAAUGGGUGUCAUUACCAGGCAGCUCCAUUUUCAACGAGGCUCUUUCCACUUGGGGAAAUGGAUGGAAUCACCUAUUGCGUUGGACUGACCUGCUCUCUGGCUUGCAGAAGUCACGGCUCUGGGUGGCACCAAGGCACGAAAUGACACGGACACCUGGCCUGUGUGGGGGCCUUUGUCUGUCCCUCUCUCCCUGCUCCUCCACAGUCAGUAUCCACACUAUGGUUUGAAUGUAUGUAUCUUUCCGACAUUCAUAUGGUUGGAACAUAAACCCCAAGGCAAUGGUAUGAGAAGUUGGGGGGGGCCUUUGGGAGUUGAUUAGGUCAUGAAGGCUCCACCCUUGUGAACGGGAUUAAUGCCCUUAUAGCAAUAAAAGAGCAGGAGGGAACUAGUUAGGCUCAUUGUGAUCUUCCACUCUUCUACCACAUGAGGACACAGUGUUUGUCCCCUCCAGAGGGCAUGGCAAGGCCCCAUCUCGGAAGCAGAGAGAGUCCACACCAGACACUGAAUCUGUUGGCGUCUUGAUCUUGGACUUCCAAUCCUCUAAAACUCUGUUGUUUCCUCAAGGGAAAACUUUAUCUGUGUGUGGGUAAAAUGUUGCUCUCUUAACGAAUCGAAAGCAGAACAUGAGG